RNAcentral lists this transfer RNA (17 nucleotides) under Testudo graeca. RNAcentral's name for it is "partial transfer RNA-Thr". Lineage: Eukaryota; Metazoa; Chordata; Testudines; Testudinidae. The record is from RNAcentral. RNAcentral also lists the same sequence under 3 other names.
AUUCUAGUAGCUUAAUA